RNAcentral lists this ribosomal RNA (923 nucleotides) under uncultured archaeon. Its description in RNAcentral is "bacterial SSU rRNA". It matches the Rfam family "Archaeal small subunit ribosomal RNA", at positions 459 to 1344 of the family's 1478-position model. The record is from RNAcentral.
CAGCAGCCGCGGUAAUACCGGCAGUCCGAGUGAUGUCCGCUUUUAUUGGGCUUAAAGCGUCCGUAGCCAGCCCNNUAAGUCCCCGGUUAAAAUCUGACGGCUCAACCCGUCGGCUAUCUGGGGAAACUGGCGGGCUUGAGGCCGGGAAAGGUCAGAGGUACUCCUGGGGUAGGGGUAAAAUCCGAUAAUCCUGGGGGGACCACCAGUGGCGAAGGCGUCUGACUGGAACGGGCCUGACGGUGAGGGACGAAACCCUGGGGAGCGAUCCGGAUUAGAUACCCGGGUAGUCCAGGGCGUAAACCAUGUGGGCUGGGUGUGGGCUAAUCAGAAGGAUUAGUCUGUGCCGAAGCAAAAGCGAUAAGCCCACCGCCUGGGGAGUCUGGUCGCAAGGCUGAAAUUCCGGGAAGUAGAACCUAGAUCUCGGAACAGCAAACUUAAAGGAAUUGGCGGGGGGGCACCACAAGGGGUGGAGCCUGCGGUCUAAUUGGAUUCAACGCCGGGAAUCUUACCAGAAGCGACAGCCGGAUGACAGCCAGGUUGAUGACCUUGCUCAACAAGCUGAGAGGAGGUGCAUGGCUGCCGUCAGCUCGUACUGUGAAGCGUCCUGUUAAGUCAGGUAACGAGCGAGACCCACACCCUCAGUUGCCAGCAGAUCCGAGAGGAUGCUGGGGACUCUGAGGGGACCGCCAUCGAUAAGAUGGAGGAAGGAGUGGGCGACGGUAGGUCAGUAUGCCCCAAAUCUUCUGGGCUACACGCGCGCUACAAUGGCCGGGACAAUGGGCAGCGACUCCGAAAGGAGAAGCCAAUCCCCUAAACCCGGUCCCAGUCCGGAUUGAGGGCUGUAACUCGCCCUCAUGAAGAUGGAAUCCCCAGUAACUGCGUGUCAACAUCGCGCGGUGAACAUGUCCCUGCCCCUUGCACAC